CCAAUAGGGAGGGCCAAUGGCCGGCGCAUACAUGGAUGCCGUGCUCGUGCGUCGUCGGCUCGUCCGCCACCAGAGACCGACGUGCCGAUACGCGCGCUCUCGUGGGCGUACUCGUGUUCGCGUUCCUUUCGAUUUUCACGCGUUCCCGUUCUUGUAAAGUUCUUUAAAAAAUGCCGAACCUGCUAAGGAAGGAGAAGGUGCGUCUGUCACGGUAGUUCUCUCGUGUCGCGCGGUGGUGUCUUUAGAACGUUACCACCAAAGUUUUUCUUCGCACGCGAUCGGUCUGUCCUACGGAUCAGUCUGUCUUUAUUCAUCCCCUCUCUAUCUAUCUAUUGCUAGAGAAAGAGCGAAGAAGGAAGGAGCAAAAGGAAGAAGGGAGCUAGCGUGUGCGCGAGAGAGAAAGAGAGAGAGAGAGAUUGAGUGAGUGAGUGAGUGAGUGAGUGAGUGAGUGAGUGAGUGAGUGCACCGGGGGAACAACCCCGGCGGCCUUAGCUACUCAAGGGUGUAGUAGCAUGGUGAAGACCGCCGUCUUGCUCGUUUCUUGACCCGACCGUCCGUAUACAUCGCAAAAUCGGCUCUUCAACUAUCUGUCCGUUGCGAAAAAGAAAGAAAGAAAGAGAGAGAGAGAGAGAGAGAGAGAGAAAAAGAAGGUUCGCUCCGCUCUAGUAAGAGUCCCCCGUCGACUCGUACGGAAUCGAAUCCAUCGUCGGCCUAUUAAAAGCGGUCGUGUGAGUUUCGACUACUCUCUCGCGUGUCUCGGGCCCCGUCGCACACGAUACAAUAAUGGAAACGUCGUCGAAGACCAGCAAGGACAAGGGAAAGAACGGCAACAAGGAUGUCGAGGCCGGCGACGAGGUGAGGUUAUAUCUCGUUUCUCUACGCUCUUUCCCCCUCUCUUCUGUCGCCUUCUCCUCCUCCUCCUCCU
Long non-coding RNA from Vespa mandarinia (Asian giant hornet), 925 nucleotides. The record is from RefSeq and is a predicted model, not a curated record. Lineage: Eukaryota; Metazoa; Arthropoda; Insecta; Hymenoptera; Vespidae.